UACGGGGGGGGCAAGCGUUGUUCGGAAUUAUUGGGCGUAAAGGGCGCGUAGGCGGCAUGGCAAGUGGAUGGUGAAAUCCCUCGGCUUAACCGAGGAACUGCCGUCCAAACUGCUUCGCUUGAGACCGGGAGAGGUGAGUGGAAUUCCCAGUGUAGCGGUGAAAUGCGUAGAUAUUGGGAGGAACACCAGUGGCGAAGGCGGUUGCCUGGGGCUUUGCUGACGCUGAUGCGCGAAAACGUGGGGGAGCGAUCCGG
RNAcentral lists this ribosomal RNA (254 nucleotides) under uncultured bacterium. Its description in RNAcentral is "partial 16S ribosomal RNA". It matches the Rfam family "Bacterial small subunit ribosomal RNA", at positions 524 to 776 of the family's 1533-position model. The record is from RNAcentral.